RNAcentral lists this ribosomal RNA (526 nucleotides) under Simulium lurauense. RNAcentral describes it as "partial 16S ribosomal RNA". It matches the Rfam family "Archaeal large subunit ribosomal RNA", at positions 1905 to 2674 of the family's 2987-position model. Lineage: Eukaryota; Metazoa; Arthropoda; Insecta; Diptera; Simuliidae. The record is from RNAcentral.
ACAUGUCUUUUUAGUAUUUAAUAUAAAGUCUGGCCUGCCCACUGAAUAGAAUGUUUGAAGGGCCGCAGUAUUUUGACUGUGCAAAGGUAGCAUAAUCAUUAGUCUUUUAAUUGAAGGCUGGUAUGAAUGGUCGGAUGAGAUAUAAGCUGUGUCAUAAAAAUUAUUAUUUGAAUUUAACUUUUUAGUCAAAAGGCUAAAAUAAUUUUAAAAGACGAGAAGACCCUAUAGAGCUUUAUAUAGUAAAUGUUUAAAUUAUUAAGAUUUAUUAAAUUUAAUUUUUGUACUUUAUUAUGUUGGGGUGACAAUAAAAUUUAUAAAACUUUUAUUUUUAUUUAACAUUAAUUUAUGGUUAUAUGAUCCAAUUUUAUUGAUUAUAAAUUUAAGUUACCUUAGGGAUAACAGCGUAAUUUUUUUUGAGAGUUCUUAUCGACAAAAAAGAUUGCGACCUCGAUGUUGGAUUAAGAUUAAUUUUGGGUGUAGAAGUUCAAAAUUUAAGUCUGUUCGACUUUUAAAUUCUUACAUGAUC